RNAcentral lists this ribosomal RNA (497 nucleotides) under uncultured bacterium. RNAcentral's name for it is "partial 16S ribosomal RNA". It matches the Rfam family "Bacterial small subunit ribosomal RNA", at positions 28 to 507 of the family's 1533-position model. The record is from RNAcentral.
GAUGAACGCUGGCGGCGUGCCUAAUACAUGCAAGUCGAGCGAACAGGCGAGGAGCUUGCUCCUCUGACGUUAGCGGCGGACGGGUGAGUAACACGUGGAUAACCUACCUAUAAGACUGGGAUAACAUCGGGAAACCGGAGCUAAUACCGGAUAAUAUAUUGAACCGCAUGGUUCAAUAGUGAAAGACGGUUUUGCUGUCACUUAUAGAUGGAUCCGCGCCGCAUUAGCUAGUUGGUAAGGUAACGGCUUACCAAGGCAACGAUGCGUAGCCGACCUGAGAGGGUGAUCGGCCACACUGGAACUGAGACACGGUCCAGACUCCUACGGGAGGCAGCAGUAGGGAAUCUUCCGCAAUGGGCGAAAGCCUGACGGAGCAACGCCGCGUGAGUGAUGAAGGUCUUCGGAUCGUAAAACUCUGUUAUUAGGGAAGAACAAAUGUGUAAGUAACUAUGCACGUCUUGACGGUACCUAAUCAGAAAGCCACGGCUAACUACGUG